UGACCACCCCUUUCCCGGGGUCAAGGCCAUACGGACAGCCGGGUCAAAUGCCGA
Molecule: small RNA, 54 nt
Filed under: chicken gut metagenome
Description: Streptococcus sRNA SpF59 (ldcC RNA)
Rfam family: Streptococcus sRNA SpF59 (ldcC RNA)
Source: RNAcentral